UGUAGAAGGCAACAGUCGUAACUGCGUGGCCAGCAGGCUGGGGUAAUUACGGUAGUGGGCAAGCGUUUAAUCGGAAUUUCUGGGACGUAAAGCGCGCGCAGGGCGGUUUAUUAAGUUCGGAUGUAAAAUCCCCGAGCUUCAACGUGGAAGCUGCAUUCGAAACUGGCAGACUAGAGUCAUGGUAGAGGGAAGGUAGAAUUCCAGGUGUAGCGGUGAAAUGCGUAGAGAUAUGGAGGAAUACCGGUGGCGAAGGCGGCCCUCUGGACUAAGACUGACGCUCAGGUGCGAAAGCAUGGGGAGCAAACAGGAUUAGAUACCCUGGUAGUCCACGCCGUAAACGAUGUCUACUAGGAGGUGGUGCCUUUGAGGCGUUACUUCCGGAGCUAACGCGAUAAGUCGACCGCCUGGGGAGUACGGCCGCAAGGUUAAAACUCAAAUGAAUUGACGGGGGCCCGCACAAGCGGUGGAGCAUGUGGUUUAAUUCGAUGCAACGCGAAGAACCUUACCUACUCUUGACAUCCAGAGAACUUUCCAGAGAUGGAUUGGUGCCUUCGGGAACUCUGAGACAGGUGCUGCAUGGCUGUCGUCAGCUCGUGUUGUGAAAUGUUGGGUUAAGUCCCGCAACGAGCGCAACCCUUAUCCUUUGUUGCCAGCGGUUCGGCCGGGAACUCAAAGGAGACUGCCAGUGAUAAACUGGAGGAAGGUGGGGAUGACGUCAAGUCAUCAUGGCCCUUACGAGCAGGGCUACACACGUGCUACAAUGGUGCAUACAAAGGGAAGCGACCUAGCGAGAGCAAGCGGACCUCAAAAAGUGCGUCGUAGUCCGGAUUGGAGUCUGCAACUCGACUCCAUGAAGUCGGAUCGCUAGUAAAUCGUGAUCAGAAUGCCACGGUAAAUACGUCCCGGGCCCUGUACAACCCCCCCCUCCACCCCAUGGAGUUUGGUGCCCCAGGAGGAAGUUACCUA
RNAcentral lists this ribosomal RNA (966 nucleotides) under Enterobacter ludwigii. RNAcentral's name for it is "bacterial SSU rRNA". It matches the Rfam family "Bacterial small subunit ribosomal RNA", at positions 482 to 1437 of the family's 1533-position model. The record is from RNAcentral. Lineage: Bacteria; Pseudomonadati; Pseudomonadota; Gammaproteobacteria; Enterobacterales; Enterobacteriaceae.